Molecule: ribosomal RNA, 253 nt
Filed under: uncultured bacterium
Lineage: Bacteria
Description: partial 16S ribosomal RNA
Rfam family: Bacterial small subunit ribosomal RNA
Source: RNAcentral
UACGUAGGGUGCAAGCGUUAAUCGGAAUUACUGGGCGUAAAGCGUGCGCAGGCCGCUAUGUAAGACAGAUGUGAAAUCCCCGGGCUUAACCUGGGAACUGCAUUUGUGACUGCAUGGCUAGAGUACGGCAGAGGGGGAUGGAAUUCCGCGUGUAGCAGUGAAAUGCGUAGAUAUGCGGAGGAACACCGAUGGCGAAGGCAAUCCCCUGGGCCUGUACUGACGCUCAUGCACGAAAGCGUGGGGAGCAAACAGG